AACGCGGAGUUGCUAGUAAACGCAGGUCAGCACACUGCGUUGAAUACGUUCCCGGGCCUUGUACACACCGCCCGUCACGUCAUGGAAGUUGGUAACACUUGAAGUCGUUGCGCUAACCCUUUGGGAGGCAGACGCCGAGAGUGGGACUGAUGACUGGGACGAAGUCGUAACAAGGUAGCUGUACCGGAAGGUGCGGCUGGAUCACCUCCUUUCUAAGGA
Molecule: ribosomal RNA, 219 nt
Filed under: SAR202 cluster bacterium
Lineage: Bacteria; Bacillati; Chloroflexota; Dehalococcoidia
Description: partial 16S ribosomal RNA
Rfam family: Bacterial small subunit ribosomal RNA
Source: RNAcentral